UCCUAACGUUGAAGGUGGAUCCUGGU
Molecule: non-coding RNA, 26 nt
Filed under: Homo sapiens (human)
Lineage: Eukaryota; Metazoa; Chordata; Mammalia; Primates; Hominidae
Source: RNAcentral